This 436-nucleotide ribosomal RNA is filed under the name uncultured marine eukaryote. Its description in RNAcentral is "SSU rRNA". It matches the Rfam family "Eukaryotic small subunit ribosomal RNA", at positions 1 to 440 of the family's 1831-position model. The record is from RNAcentral.
AACCUGGUUGAUCCUGCCAGUAGUCAUAUGCUUGUCUCAAAGAUUAAGCCAUGCAUGUCUAAGUAUGAACUGCUUAUACUGUGAAACUGCGAAUGGCUCAUUAAAUCAGUUAUAGUUUAUUUGAUGGUACCUACUACUCGGAUAACCGUAGUAAUUCUAGAGCUAAUACGUGCGUAAAUCCCGACUUCUGGAAGGGACGUAUUUAUUAGAUUUAAGGCCAACCGAGCUUGCUCGUCUCUUGGUGAAUCAUGAUAACUUCACGAAUCGCAUGGCCUCGCGCCGGCGAUAUUUCAUUCAAAUUUCUGCCCUAUCAAUUGGCGAUGGUAGGAUAGAGGCCUACCAUGGUGUUAACGGGUGACGGGGGAUUAGGGUUCGAUUCCGGAGAGGCAGCCUGAGAAACGGCUACCACAUCCAAGGAAGGCAGCAGGCGCGCAAA